This is a non-coding RNA of Schizothecium vesticola, 122 nucleotides long. Lineage: Eukaryota; Fungi; Ascomycota; Sordariomycetes; Sordariales; Schizotheciaceae. The record is from the annotation of a GenBank genome assembly.
GGGAGGGUGGCUCAGUGGUAGAGCGCAGCGAACUUGCAUUUGGUGUUUCCUACCUAAGGAUAGUGAAACGUGUCCUAUGAUGCCGGUUCCUAAGGUCAUGGGUUCGGAUCUCAUCUCUCUCU